UCAGUGGUUUUGAAUGGAUCAUUAAGGGAUGUCAGAGUUGUUUUUCUGGGGGACUUGCCUAAAGACUGAUUAGGUAACCUUCUCGAGGUCAUCUAUAGCCCUGGGGCUGUAUAAAUGUUCCCCUCCUACAAAUGCAGAAGGCUGUCUUCUCUUCCUUAAAGCCACAGGCAAUGGAAGUGUUGGAAUUUCCCGAAAGAAUGGCUGACCGUAACAUCAUAGUUUCCUUCCCCAGCCCCUGGUCAUCUUGUUCUGCAACCGGUUCCAUUAAUUUGCCAGAGCAGCUUUCAGAACUCCGGGAAACCCAUCUACUGGUUUGUUCAAGGAUGGGAUAAAGGAUA
Long non-coding RNA from Prionailurus viverrinus (fishing cat), 338 nucleotides. RefSeq lists it as uncharacterized. The record is from RefSeq and is a predicted model, not a curated record. NCBI's taxonomy places the organism in Eukaryota, Metazoa, Chordata, Mammalia, Carnivora, Felidae. The transcript is spliced from 3 exons.